GGGGAUUUAGCUCAGAGGUAGAGCGCUUGCCUAGCAAGCGCAAGGUCCUGGGUUCGGUCCCCAGCUCCG
RNAcentral lists this transfer RNA (69 nucleotides) under Rattus norvegicus (Norway rat). It matches the Rfam family "tRNA". From Rfam's summary of the family: Transfer RNA (tRNA) molecules are approximately 80 nucleotides in length. Their secondary structure includes four short double-helical elements and three loops (D, anti-codon, and T loops). Lineage: Eukaryota; Metazoa; Chordata; Mammalia; Rodentia; Muridae. The record is from Rfam by way of RNAcentral.